GGUACUUACCUUAAGGCUACUUACUAAUUUAUUUUUAAAAUAAAAUAAACAAUAAAAUAAAUAUUGCAAUUAAAAAUUUAAUCACUUACAAUCUAAAUAACUGAAUUUCUAAUGAGCCAAAACUAUACAAUGCCCAAGAGUCCAUCUAACCUAAUUUUAACACUUCAUAAUAUCCUAUUAAAUCAUAUAAAACAUUAAAUUAACAUUCAAAUAUAAAUUUCUAUAGAAGAGCAUCAAAUUACAAACAUAUAUGAUUAUUCUAGAUUUUUGAUAGAUUCGUAAUGUUUUUGUAUUUUAAUUUAUAAAUUAGUUAAACUUAUAUAAAAAUUAUACAAAAAUUCCAGAAACAUGCCAAGACAUUAUAUUAAAUUAGAAAAUUAUUAGUUAGUCUAAAAUCUCUACUAAAUAAUUUACAAAAAAUCAUACUUUACAAGUGUUAUGCACCAGAUACGGAUCCGCACUACUUUUUUUAAAUCAAUGUAUCUCACAAAUUAUAAAAGAUAUUUAUAUGAAACCAACGUAAAAAAAAUAGACAAGAUCUUGAACUUAUUUUUAGAAUACAAAAUUGCAAAAAAAGAUGAAGAAUUGAGAGAGAUAUUGAUCCAAAAAUUCAGCUAUCCUGCAAAUCGCAGAGAGAAGACAUCUUAACUUUUAACAACUAUAACUCUCUCAAUUUAAAAGCUUUUUGCACCUUUUUACACUAAAAUCAUUAGAAUUUCAUGAAAAAUACAAAUAUAAUUUUUAUACUUUUUUUUAAAGAAAUAGAAAUACAUGAAAAAUAAUAAAUAACGUGAAGAUAGAAAAUCAACAUGUUUGUAAAUUCCCUUCAAAUUUAUCACAUGAACAUGAAUGAUAUGAACAUAUGAGAUCAUCUAAAGGCAUAUAAACAUGAAAGAACAAAUAUAUGGCAUAUUUGUUGAAUAUUCAUAACUUAUAACACAUACUUUGAAGAAUUCUUGAAAGUUUCUUAAAAAAAAAUGAAGAAACAAAUAAGAAAAAAAGAAAGAGGGAGAUAGGGAAAGUUUGACGAAUUGGAGAGAUAGAGUGAGAGCUUUUUUUUUUCUUGGGUUGUGUUGUUCUCUCUUUUGUGUUAUUUUUUUCUCCUUUAUUUGUCAAGUAUUCAUAUGGUUAUGGUUUAGAGUUCUAGAAAGAUAGGUAAUCCUAUUCCUAGAGGGUUUAAAAGUGCUAACGAGAUUAGGAUAGGAAUAAGGAUAAGUAGAGAUAAAUAAAAAUAAAUAAGGAUAAAAAAUUAAAUAAAAUUAGAUAGGAAUAGGGGAGAGAAUUUGCAUGGGAAAGGGAAGAGAGAAAAGAGGGGGUGUGUGAGGGGAGAGAGAAGACAAAGAGUGCAUGUGGGA
RNAcentral lists this unclassified non-coding RNA (1355 nucleotides) under Hevea brasiliensis (rubber tree). Lineage: Eukaryota; Viridiplantae; Streptophyta; Magnoliopsida; Malpighiales; Euphorbiaceae. The record is from RNAcentral.